Molecule: ribosomal RNA, 1408 nt
Filed under: uncultured Rhizaria
Lineage: Eukaryota
Description: SSU rRNA
Rfam family: Eukaryotic small subunit ribosomal RNA
Source: RNAcentral
CGGAGAGGGAGCAUGAGAAACGGCUACCACUUCUAAGGAAGGCAGCAAGCGCGCAAAUUACCCAAUCCUGACUCAGGGAGGUAGUGACAAGAAAUAACAAUAAACCGGCUUAUGCCGGUUUAAUUGGAAUGAGUACAAUUUAAACAUCUUAACGAGGAACAAUUAGAGGGCAAGUCUGGUGCCAGCAGCCGCGGUAAUUCCAGCUCCAAUAGCGUAUACUAAAGUUGUUGCAGUUAAAAAGCUCGUAGUUGGAUUUCUGCGGGGACGGAGCGGCCGGUCGCAACUUGCGACUCGAGCUAGCGCUUUCCCCGCAUCCUGCCGCGAACCGUGCUACCAUUAGUUUGGUGGCGCUGGGGAUCGGCUCGAUUACUUUGAGAAAAAUAGAGUGUUCAAAGCAGGCCACACGCCUUGAAUAAGUUAGCAUGGAAUAAUGACUAAGGACUUUGGUUCUUUUCGUUGGUGUUCGGGACUGAAGUAAUGAUUGAUAGGGACAGUUGGGGCGGUCCGUAUUCCAAAGCGAGAGGUGAAAUUCUUAGACCUUCGGAAGACGAACAGCUGCGAAAGCGUUCCGCAAGGGUGUUCCCUUUGAUCAAGAACGAAAGUUGGGGGAUCGAAGACGAUCAGAUACCGUCGUAGUCUCAACUAUAAACUAUACCAGCUAGGGAUCGGCCAACGUUUAAUUAUUCGACUUGGUCGGCACCUUAUGAGAAAUCAAAGCAUCUGGGUUCCGGGGGGAGUAUGGUCGCAAGGCUGAAACUUAAAGGAAUUGACGGAAGGGCACCACCAGCCGUGGAGCCUGUGGCUUAAUUUGACUCAACACGGGAAAACUUACCAGGUCCGGACAUAGUAAGGAUUGACAGAUUGAUAGCUCUUUCUUGAUUCUGUGGGUGGUGGUGCAUGGCCGUUUUUAGUCGGUGGAUGUGAUCUGUCUGCUUAAUUGCGUUAACGGACGAGACCCCAGCCUGCUAAAUAGCGCGGCCGAGCUUUGCUCGGUGCGAGCUUCUUAGAGGGACCAUGAUGCGCGAUAGCACAAGGAAGUUUGGGGCAACAACAGGUCUGUGAUGCCCUUAGAUGUUCUGGGCCGCACACGGGCUACACUGGCGCCUGCAACGAGCAUAUCAGCUGGCCCGAGAGGGUCUUGGCUAAUCUUUGGAACCGGCGCCGUGCUUGGGAUUGACCAUUGCAAUUGUUGGUCAUGCAACGAGGAAUGCCUUGUAAACGCGAGUCAUCAGCUCGCAUUGAAUACGUCCCUGCCCUUUGUACACACCGCCCGUCGCUCCUACCGAUGAAUGUUCCGAUGAAAUUUUCGGAGAGCGCCGGAGAACGGGGCUCCGCCCUGCAGAACUGGAGGCUCAAAGUCACUUAAAUCUGAACAUAUCGAGGAAGGAGAAGUCGUAACAAGGUAACC